AGGCCAGUGUAAUGCCUGAGUACUAACAGGCACAUGCACACAGGGAGUGGCUGUAGCUGAUGAUAAAUCCUGCCAGGUCCUAAGGGCAGGCCUGUGAAGAUGCCUGAACAUUAACAGAGGUGACCCAGACUCAGAAAAAUGUCACCUGUUCUUCCUUAUAUGGCAGACUCCAGCAUAUAACUUCACAUGUAUCAUUGGAAAUGGGUGUAUGCAGCCCAGGUUAGUCUUGAACACUCGACCUCCUAGCUCUGGGUGUAGAGGCAUGAAUCACCACACGAAGGUUGGAGAUGUUUCCAAGCUGAGAUGUUACCUUCUUUCCAGGAGAUGAGCCCAACUCUCAAGCUUCAAGUGUUUCAAUGAGUCUUAAGUGGCCAGGCAUUUGAAAGCUGAUCCAGUGAUGAUACUACGGCCAUCUGAAAAGCAGGCAUGAAUCACCGGCUCUUAUCUGAGGCUCUUAUCUGAAGCUUCGGGAAAGCAGAACCCGGAAGUAGGAAGCACUCCUGACAAUUAUUUUCCACCGAGGUUUGCCUGCCUGGUUCCUUUUCUUAUUCUCUGCCAAGAGUGACCCCAGAACAAUGGAACCCAUUCAGCCGGUCUACCACCCGUGCUACUAGGCUUCCUGAAUAAAUAAGCAAUGAAGAGCUAGUCACCCUACUCCCUUUGUUUUAAUCAUAACGAGGCUUUCCACAAGACUCUCAGGACGCUCCUCGAUUUGAUUAUGAUGCAGUGACAUUCAAGCGGCUCCUACUUUACAUGCGGCGCUGAGGGAAGUGCUUGUCUGAUCUGACUCUUCACGAGACAAAGCAGACACUUAUCAGUUACGACUGCCUGCCGCGGAAUGGCCGGCGGGAUCCUAGAGAGCCUAGGCUAAUGGUGCCUCUGCUGACCAGCGCAUCGGGUGUCCCUUGCAGAGAUGAACCCCUGAAACCUGAGUGAAACUGUAACCUGCUCUCCACGAAGAGGACUGUGAUGUCAACAAUUUGUCCCUCGCGUUUGUGUGGUGAUAAACUCCACGAGGAGAGACGUGUGCUACCGGGAAAUCAGGACACCGAGUUUUCUGGGUUCUUCUAGACUUCUUUAUUGUUUGAAAAUUUCAGGCAUGAACAUAAUGUGUUUUGAACAAAGCCACUUCCUAUACUCUCCCCUCUAAUUUCCCCGGUCUCUCCUCCACCACUUUUUACU
Molecule: long non-coding RNA, 1182 nt
Organism: Peromyscus eremicus (cactus mouse)
Lineage: Eukaryota; Metazoa; Chordata; Mammalia; Rodentia; Cricetidae
Exons: 3
Source: RefSeq, a predicted model, not a curated record